This 774-nucleotide ribosomal RNA is filed under the name uncultured Neocallimastigales. RNAcentral describes it as "partial large subunit ribosomal RNA". It matches the Rfam family "Eukaryotic large subunit ribosomal RNA", at positions 24 to 649 of the family's 3401-position model. Lineage: Eukaryota; Fungi; Neocallimastigomycota; Neocallimastigomycetes; Neocallimastigales. The record is from RNAcentral.
GUAGUCUCGCACAGAUGCAUAUCAAUAAGCGGAGGAAAAGAAACUAACAAGGAUUCCCCUAGUAACGGCGAGUGAAGCGGGAAGAGCUCAAAUUUGAAAUCUUAAAGGGUUUCCCUUUACGAAUUGUAGUUUAAAGAAGUGUUUUCUGUUGAGGUUUUGGUAAAAGUUCUUUGGAAUAGGACAUCAUAGAGGGUGAGAAUCCCGUAUUUGACCUUUACUUUCAACUUUGUGAUACACUUUCAAAGAGUCGGAUUGUUUGGGAAUGCAGUCCAAAAUGGGUGGUAAAUUUCAUCUAAAGCUAAAUAUUGGCGAGAGACCGAUAGCGAACAAGUACCGUGAGGGAAAGAUGAAAAGAACUUUGAAAAGAGAGUUAAACAGUACGUGAAAUUGUCAAAAGGGAAGCGUUUGACACCAGUGUUGUUUUUCUGAAAAUCAAUUAAAGAACUGUUUAUGCUAAGUUGUUUAGACUUUAUCAGCUAUCUGUUUAGUUUUGAGCUUUUCUUUAAUGCACUUUUCAGUUAACAAGUCAACAUCAAUUUCUUUUGCUGUAAAAGAGCUUGAGGAAGGUGGCUUGAGAUUCGUCUUAAGUGUUUAUAGCCUCUUGCCUAUGCAGUCGGAGAGAUUGAGGUCUGCAGCGUAGAUCCUUCGGGGCUAAAUGCAUUUGUGCUAAGUUAUAGCAUUUUAUAGACAACUUGUUGACUAUGAUUUGUCUUGUAGCUUACUCGCUUAUGUUAUUUUACCUACGCUUAGGAUGUUGAGUAGCGACAUACGCAC